UACAGAGGGUGCAAGCGUUAAUCGGAAUUACUGGGCGUAAAGGGCGCGUAGGUGGGGAUAUAAGUGAGAUGUGAAAUACCCGAGCUUAACUUGGGGGAGUCAUCUCAGACUGUAUUUCUAGAGUUUAGGAGAGGGGAGUGGAAUUUCCGGUGUAGCGGUGAAAUGCGUAGAGAUCGGAAGGAACAUCAGAGGCGAAAGCGACUCCCCGGCCAUAAACUGACACUGAGGCGCGAAAGCGUGGGUAGCAAACAGG
This 253-nucleotide ribosomal RNA is filed under the name uncultured bacterium. Its description in RNAcentral is "partial 16S ribosomal RNA". It matches the Rfam family "Bacterial small subunit ribosomal RNA", at positions 524 to 776 of the family's 1533-position model. The record is from RNAcentral.